CUAAGAAUAUUCCGCAAUGGACGGAAGUCUGACGGAGCGACGCCGCGUGGAUGAAGAAGGCCGAAAGGUUGUAAAGUUCUUUUGCUGGGGAAGAAUAACCGCAGGAGGGAAUGCCUGUGGGAUGACAAGAACCGGCGAAUAAGCCCCGGCCAACUACGUGCCAGCAGCCGCGGUAACACGUAGGGGGCGAGCGUUGUUCGGAAUUACUGGGCGUAAAGGGCAUGUAGGCGGCUUGGAAAGCCUGGCGUGAAAGUCUGCAGCUUAACUGCAGGGGUGCGCUGGGAACUGCUGAGCUUGAGUGACGGAGAGGGAGCUGGAAUUCCUGGUGUAGGGGUGAAAUCUGUAGAUAUCGGGAAGAACACCGAUGGCGAAGGCAAGCUCCUGGCCGAUGACUGACGCUGAGGUGCGAAAGUGUGGGGAUCAAACAGGAUUAGAUACCCUGGUAGUCCACACAGUCAACGAUGUGCACUAGGUGCUGGGGCGGUAGCUUCGGGUGCCGGAGCGAACGUGGUAAGUGCACCGCCUGGGGGAGUAUGCUCGCAAGGGGUGAAACUCAAUGAAUUGACGGGGUCUAGCUG
RNAcentral lists this ribosomal RNA (578 nucleotides) under uncultured bacterium. RNAcentral describes it as "partial 16S ribosomal RNA". It matches the Rfam family "Bacterial small subunit ribosomal RNA", at positions 355 to 926 of the family's 1533-position model. The record is from RNAcentral.